AACGCGAAGAACCUUACCUAGACUUGACAUCCCGGUGACCGCUCUGGAAACAGAGUUUUCCCUUCGGGGACACCGGUGACAGGUGGUGCAUGGUUGUCGUCAGCUCGUGUCGUGAGAUGUUCGGUUAAGUCCGAUAACGAGCGCAACCCUUCUCCUUAGUUGCUAACAUUUAGUUGAGAACCCUAAGGAUACUGCCGGUGACAAACCGGAGGAAGGUGGGGAUGGCGUCAAAUCAUCAUGCCCCUUACGUCUAGGGCUACAGGCGUGCUAUAAUGGCCGGUAUAAUGAGUCGCAAUACCGUGAGGUGGAGCUAAUCUCCAAAGCCGUUCCCAGUUCGGAUUGAAGUCUGCAACUCGACUUCAUGAAGCUAGAAUCGCUAGUAAUCCCGGAUCAGAAUGCCGGGGUGAAUACGUUCCCGGGUCUUGUACACACGC
Molecule: ribosomal RNA, 434 nt
Filed under: uncultured Rummeliibacillus sp.
Lineage: Bacteria; Bacillati; Bacillota; Bacilli; Caryophanales; Caryophanaceae
Description: bacterial SSU rRNA
Rfam family: Bacterial small subunit ribosomal RNA
Source: RNAcentral